RNAcentral lists this ribosomal RNA (836 nucleotides) under uncultured Alphaproteobacteria bacterium. Its description in RNAcentral is "bacterial SSU rRNA". It matches the Rfam family "Bacterial small subunit ribosomal RNA", at positions 9 to 880 of the family's 1533-position model. Lineage: Bacteria; Pseudomonadati; Pseudomonadota; Alphaproteobacteria. The record is from RNAcentral.
GAGUUUGAUCAUGGCUCAGGACGAACGCUGGCGGCAGGCUUAACACAUGCAAGUCGAACGAGAAUCUAGAGCUUGCUCUAGAGGACAGUGGCAGACGGGUGAGUAACGCGUGGGAAUAUACCCAGUAAUAUGGAAUAGCCCAGGGAAACUUGGUGUAAUACCGUAUACGCCCUUCGGGGGAAAGAUUUAUCGCUAUUGGAGUAGCCCGCGCUAGAUUAGAUAGUUGGUGGGGUAAUGGCCUACCAAGUCGACGAUCUAUAGCUGGUUUGAGAGGAUGAUCAGCCACACUGGGACUGAGACACGGCCCAGACUCCUACGGGAGGCUGCAGUGAGGAAUAUUGGACAAUGGGCGAAAGCCUGAUCCAGCCAUGCCGCGUGAAUGAAGAAGGCCCUAGGGUUGUAAAGUUCUUUUAUCGGUGAAGAUAAUGACGGUAGCCGAAGAAAAAGCCCCGGCUAACUCCGUGCCAGCAGCCGCGGUAAUACGAAGGGGGCUAGCGUUGUUCGGAUUUACUGGGCGUAAAGCGCACGUAGGCGGAUUGAUUAGUUAGGGGUGAAAUCCCGAGGCUCAACCUCGGAACUGCCUCUAAAACUGUCAAUCUCGAGACCGGAAGAGGUGAGUGGAACUCCUAGUGUAGAGGUGGAAUUCGUAGAUAUUAGGAAGAACACCAGUGGCGAAGGCGGCUCACUGGUCCGGUACUGACGCUGAGGUGCGAAAGCGUGGGGAGCGAACAGGAUUAGAUACCCUGGUAGUCCACGCCGUAAACGAUGAGAGCUAGUCGUUGGGAAAUUUAUUUCUGAGUGACGCAGCUAACGCAUUAAGCUCUCCGCCUGGGGAG